UGGUGAAUGGAUUGUGUAUGGGCGUGAGAGUAAAACUUUACAAGGUCGAGAGUCAUACAAAAGCCAAAGCCGCAUUAAAGCCAGUCCCAGCCAGGCUUAAGGAGAGCUGGAAUGGAGAGGAUUCUCAUCUAACAUCUGGGUUGCAGUUGUAUGUUAACAUGGACUUCCUAGGAAGUAACAUAUCAAACAAAAGGGAAAGUGAUCAACCAGCAGCAGGUACCAGCCACAGUUAACUGCACCUGCUAGGAGCUCUGAAAGACUUUUUUUUUUUUUAAACGAAUAAAGAAAUUCUCAUUUCACUCUCCUCCACACUGGACUCGCUGAAGAAAGAGUAGCUGGCUGGAGGAAGCUAUCCAGAGGGAAGCAGCACAGCAUCUAUGCACAGACAUAGCAAAUAAGAGCAAGUGAACCACGCCACACUUACGACUAUGUCAACAAAGGAAUAGAAGCAAAGGAAAAGACUGACAUAGCUUAGACUGGGAAUCCUUCUAGAAAGUAAGAAAGAAUUCAGAGAGAUUCCUCUCUCUAGUCUUGAAGAAAUGAAGGUCUUCAAAAUGAAGAUUGAAGAAAUAUAGAAUAUCUAAAAAAAAAGAAAGGCUACUCUCUGAUGAAGUUGGUGGUGCUGUGGAAGAGGACCGCCGCCUCCUGGACGAGGACCGGGACCGCUCAGCAUGGAGAGCUGAUAGAAAAAGCCUGCUUAAGCUGCAGCUGCCAGAAUAAAAGAAUCGAGCCCUGUGUGCUUCCCCUAUGACUUCACUCCCUAACUUCCAACACUAAGCUAAAAUGAAAGGUCUGACUGACAGGAAAGGACCCAGAUAAGAUCCGACUCUGUGCAUGGAGAGAAUCCUCAAACCAACAGAAAAAUGAUUGACACAGAAGCCAAGUGCCAGCACUGCGUAUAAGUAACACUA
Molecule: long non-coding RNA, 911 nt
Filed under: Homo sapiens (human)
Lineage: Eukaryota; Metazoa; Chordata; Mammalia; Primates; Hominidae
Description: HSALNT0092999
Source: RNAcentral